This 79-nucleotide transfer RNA is filed under the name Candidatus Harrisonbacteria bacterium RIFCSPLOWO2_01_FULL_40_28. Its description in RNAcentral is "tRNA-Asp". It matches the Rfam family "tRNA". Rfam says of the family: Transfer RNA (tRNA) molecules are approximately 80 nucleotides in length. The record is from RNAcentral. Lineage: Bacteria; Candidatus Harrisoniibacteriota.
GGGCCCGUGGUGUAGCCUGGUCUAACACGCCACACUGUCACUGUGGAGAUCGCCGGUUCAAAUCCGGUCGGGCCCGCCA